RNAcentral lists this ribosomal RNA (470 nucleotides) under Bibbya ruginosa. Its description in RNAcentral is "LSU rRNA". It matches the Rfam family "Eukaryotic large subunit ribosomal RNA", at positions 82 to 553 of the family's 3401-position model. The record is from RNAcentral. Lineage: Eukaryota; Fungi; Ascomycota; Lecanoromycetes; Lecanorales; Ramalinaceae.
AGUAACGGCGAGUGAAGCGGCAAUAGCUCAAAUUUGAAAUCUGGCUCCCAAUCGGGGUYCGAGUUGUAAUUUGUAGAGGAUGUUUCGGGCGCGGUACCGGCCUAAGUCCCUUGGAACAGGGCGUCAUAGAGGGUGAGAGUCCCGUAUGCGGCCGGCCUCCAACCCCAUACGAAGCUCCUUCGACGAGUCGAGUUGUUUGGGAAUGCAGCUCAAAAUGGGUGGUAAAUUUCAUCUAAAGCUAAAUACCGGCCARAGACCGAUAGCGCACAAGUAGAGUGAUCGAAAGAUGAAAAGCACUUUGGAAAGAGAGUCAAACAGUACGUGAAAUUGUUGAAAGGGAAGCGCUUGCGACCAGACCUGCCCGCGGACGUUCAGCGGUGGUUCSUCCACCGUGCACUCGUUCGCGAUCAGGCCAGCAUCGGUUCCGGCGGUUGGAAAAAGGUCGCGGGAAUAUAGCUCCUCCCGGGGAG